GUCGAGAAUCUUUCACAAUGGGGGCAACCCUGAUGGAGCGACGCCGCGUGGAGGAUAAGGUCUUCGGAUUGUAAACUCCUGUCAUGCGUGAACAAGGUUGCUUGGUUAAUACCUGGGCAAAUUGAUGGUAACGCAAGAGGAAGAGACGGCUAACUCUGUGCCAGCAGCCGCGGUAAUACAGAGGUCUCAAGCGUUGUUCGGAAUCACUGGGCGUAAAGGGUGCGUAGGUGGCGUGGUAAGUCAGAUGUGAAAGCCCGUGGCUCAACCUCGGAACUGCAUCCGAUACUGCCAUGCUAGAGUACUGGAGAGGUGACUAGAAUUCUCGGUGUAGCAGUGAAAUGCGUAGAUAUCGAGAGGAAUACCAAAGGCGUAGGCAGGUCACUGGACAGUUACUGACACUGAGGCACGAAGGCCAGGGGAGCGAACGGGAUUAGAAACCCGGGUAGUCC
RNAcentral lists this ribosomal RNA (449 nucleotides) under uncultured bacterium. RNAcentral's name for it is "partial 16S ribosomal RNA". It matches the Rfam family "Bacterial small subunit ribosomal RNA", at positions 354 to 796 of the family's 1533-position model. The record is from RNAcentral.